CGCAUUUCUCUGACUGUUAUCUCUCUCUCUAAACCCUAGAAAUUGGCAAUGUCUCUCUCAAAAAUUGGCGGUGACAAUUACGGUGAUGGUAACGAAGACGGAUUCUAUUAAAGGGACUUUUGCCACAUUCCCUAUUAAGAAACAGGGUUAAGCAAAACAUUAAGGAGAUAUUUUCGGAUCCUCCAGAAGAGAUUUUUGGAUUACGUUAAGGUUUUUAUGCACCUUGCUCUCAUCAUUGGCUCUUCUUGCUGAAUCUUUGCUUGUUGAGUGCACUGAGGAACAAUCAUCUCUUCUAGCUAGUCAACGGAACAAAAAUUGGUGUCCUAUUCCCAACAUUCUUCUCAACACAAGCUUCUUUGAACUUGAUAAGCAAAACUUACUUAAGGCAGAAGCUAAGACGGUGCAUUUACACGAAGGAAGGGAAUUUGACCUCUACGAAGAGCCAUGACUGUCACAUUUUCAUGGAGUCACUGAUGCCUAUUGCAUUCAGUGUAUUGUCUGAUAGAAUAUGGAUGCCCAUAACAGAGAUAAGCUUAUUUUUCAAAGAUUUAUGUUCUAACACAUUAAGGGAGGAGAACCUAUCUUUGAUGGGAUAUUAACAUUUGCUUAACCUUAAACAAGAUGGCAAAAAUUUUUCCUCCUAUUUUUUUUUAUGUUAUGGAGCAUUUUCCAAUUCACCUUGUACGUGAGGCACGACUUGAAGGGCCUGUUCAGUGUAGAUGGAUGUAUCCCUUUGAGAGGUAUUGACUUUUAACAUUUACUUUUAUGUGUUAUAAUUGAAUAUUAUUUCAUCUAAAAUAUCAUACUAUGCAGGACUAUUGACAAAUGUAAGCGGACCAUAAAAAACAAAUCUCGAAUUGAGGGAUCAAUAUGUGAGGCUUAUUUGGCUAAAGAGACCUCUUAUUUUUGUUCAUAUUAUUUUAAACAUGGUGUACCAUGUAUGAGAAACCGACCUAAUAGGCAUGAUGAUGGAGAUAAUACAAAAUUUUCAGCACCACAAUUUUCAAUAUUCAAUCAACCAGGUAAAGAAAGUCCGAAAAUUGGUCCACUUCGAUAUUUGAAUGAGGUGGAGCUUAAGUCAGCUACAACACAUGUAUUAUUAAAUUGUCUCAAGGUCCUGCCUUUUCAUAAGUUCAUAAUCCACUGAAUUAUGACCCAAAUGACCAGUUUUUAUGUGAUAUAGCUUGGAGAACUGAUGCUAAAUUGGUUAGUAAAGAAAAUCAAUGGCAUCAAAAGGUAAUGUUAAUGGACGGCGUAAGAAAAGUAAGAAAUGACCCAACAAUCUUCCUGAUGGUCAAUAUCCAUCACCACCACCACCUGUUACCACAACUCUUCAACCAGCUACUACAAAUAUUCCUCCCCCUCCUAGAUCAACUAUUUCACUACCAAAUGCUUUUUUCAUGCCUCAACCGUCUGACCUGUUACAGAGUUCUUCAUCCCAAAAUAGUCUGCAUAGUAGCUCUUCAUCUGUGCCUUUGACAUCAUCUAUACCAAGCCUUUCUGUAUUGAGAAUUGGAGGUCCUAACGCACCAACAUCACCAUCUAUUGAUAGUUCUAUAGUGUCUAAUGCUACAACAGUUGCUUCCCAGAAUCUACAAUUUAAGGAUGUAUUAGAAUAUGACAAGUUUGGGAGGCUACGAAUAGUCCCUUAUUGUGAUGGGUUCAUUCCAGCAUAUGCUGCCGGGAAUAUGGUUAUAGAAGCAAUUAAAAUAUUUUUCAAAAAUCCGUGGAAUAAUUGGUUAAAGAUUUCGUACGAAAUUAAAAUUGUUAUGUGGAAACAGUUUAUGACAAAGUGUUCAUGAGGUGAUUGUCAUGCUAAUGAAGUAGACCGCAUUUUUCAGUUGAAAGCAGCUCUAAGGAUCAAAGAACACUUGUAUGAGGCCCGGAGUAAAUUGGUAAAAUCUAGUUGGUUGAAUGAUGAAGUGUGGUCUAAGUUCUUGAUAUUAUGGGACACUCUUGAAUACAAGUCGAAGAGGGAAUGGGGAAAGACAAAUUGAGCCUCUGAAAUGGGUGGCUCGCUGCACACCGGAGGUUCAAUGAGUUUCGCUACCCACCAAAGAAGACUAGUACUAUUCUUGUCCAACCCUUUUAUCCAUUUCCCCCUUUAUUUCAUUACAACAGAAAAGUAUUUAUUUGAGUCUCCAGUUUAAUUCAUAGGGCUCUGGACUUCUGUUGAACUAUCCCCUCUUCAGUGUGACUCCAUUUCUCUAAAUUAAUCUACAAAUCUUUCUCCUCUGGUGCUAAGAAAUCUGAAUGCCUAAAAUGAUUAUUGUUGAGCAAUUCUACUAUUUUGCAAUGUGAUCUGUCUUUUAUACAACAUCUUUGGAUCUACCUUUGUUUUGAUUAUUCUCAUUUUUUACUAUUUUAUUACAUGGCAAUAUAAAUGUUCAGGAUAUCAAGGUAGGCUAGACAUCUUUGGGAUGGUGGUCAAUGGUUCAUAUGCAUUAUGGGGCACACCUUCAUUUGUAAGAGAUGGAGGAUAGAGAGUGAAAGAAAAUGGUUAAUGAGCACUCAAAACCAAAACAAAAUGAGAAAUAAGCGAUUAUACAUAUAUGGUUCGUGCUAUGCAGGUGUUGCAGUUUGAAACAAGUGAAUUAGUCAGCUUUGAGUCACAAAAAAGAGGGAAGGGGUUCCAAAAGUCAGCUGGCUGAUGAUACUAUAUCUACAAUUUGUUAUUGAGUCCCGUAUCAAGUACCAUGCAAAUUUCCACUUAAGAUAAACUUUUUAUAAACAUCCUGGAUAACUCAUCCAAAAAUACUGAAUCACAAAAUAACUCAUCAGCUAAAAGAGGAGAUACAACGAGCUCUCCAACUAUUUUGUCGCUCUUUUGUCACCCCCAGUCUUUCCAGAAUCUCUCUGUCUUGCCCUUCUUUUCAUUACUAGGAUGUGGUUGUAAUAGUUAUCAAGUUGUUCUCCUUACAAUAGGGGACCAUAUCCUACUUCACAAACUAGCCCUACGUGGAGCAUUUGCAGGUAAAUUUAGACCUCCAAUAGCCAGCAGAUCUCUAUGCAACUGAUGCAGAGAAACAGAAGUACCAAUAGGAUGUACUUCUGUUUGAAUGAAGCUCUGAUAUUUCCUUUACCCACUGAUGUUCUUCCAUAUGCUGAUUCUUGUGCAGACUUAAGAUAAACCUUUUAUAAAUCCAUGAAUACGUGUUCUUCUACUGUUUAAUGCUAUAGUCGAAGUUGGUUUAAUUUUUAAAAUAAUGUAUUUCGCCAUGGGUAAAAUUUUGCAGAAAUUCUUAAAUGGGGGAGUAGAUGUACCUCUCCCUAAAUCUUUCGAAGAGACGUAUAAGAAGAAAAAAUCGGAUAGUACAAGAGCAGAUUGGAUCGAACCGCGUGCUAAGGUUGCAUAUGAAGGAUAUCAAAAAAGCAUUGAAGAUUGGCUUCAAACCCAACUUGCUUCAGAGGAUGGUACCAUAGUCGAACCAUCGCCUGCUGAUAUGACUAGAAUAAGGACAACUGUGGUAGGUGGUCCCAAGAAGGGUAAAACCUAUAUGCUUGGAGUUAACCAAUCCUCGAGUAGUUCUUCCCUAAUGUUUCCCAACUCCGCUUCUAUUUUGCAAAAUGCGAAAGAAAUAGAAACGAUGAAAAGAAAAAUUGAAGAGUUGAUGCAACAGUGUGCAACUAGUGAUGCCAAAUUUGCCAAAUUUGAGGCGUUAGUCAAGAAGCAUAUGCCUCAAGUAUUUGAGGAUGAGGAAGAUAGUGAAUCAAAUGAUUAGCUUGUAGUUUUUCAUUCUUGUUUAUGAUUGUGAUGUGUAGACUUAAACUAUUAGAAAUAGUGUUUAUUUUGGAUUGUGAUGUUUAGACCUAAACUUGUCUUGAAAUGUUUAAAAUAUUUAACUUGUUUGUUUUGCA
This is an RNA transcript of Capsicum annuum, 3858 nucleotides long. RefSeq lists it as uncharacterized. The record is from RefSeq and is a predicted model, not a curated record. NCBI's taxonomy places the organism in Eukaryota, Viridiplantae, Streptophyta, Magnoliopsida, Solanales, Solanaceae. The transcript has 9 exons.